RNAcentral lists this ribosomal RNA (440 nucleotides) under uncultured bacterium. RNAcentral's name for it is "partial 16S ribosomal RNA". It matches the Rfam family "Bacterial small subunit ribosomal RNA", at positions 338 to 795 of the family's 1533-position model. The record is from RNAcentral.
CCUACGGGUGGCAGCAGUGGGGAAUAUUGGACAAUGGGCGCACGCCUGAUCCAGCCAUGCCGCGUGAGUGAUGAAGGCCUUAGGGUUGUAAAGCUCUUUCGCCGGGGAAGAUAAUGACGGUAACCGGAAACGAAGCCCCGGCUCACUUCGUGCCAGCAGCCGCGGUAAUACGAAGGGGGCUAGCGGUGUUCGGGAUUACUGGGCGUAAAGCGCGCGUAGGCGGAUAGAUAAGUUAGGGGUGAAAUCCCAGGGUUCAACCCUGGAACUGCCUUUAAUACUGUCUAGCUGGAGUAUGGAAGAGGUGAGUGGAAUGUCGAGUGUAGAGGUGAAAUUCGUAGAGAUUCGGAGGAACAUCAGUGGCGAAGGCGGCUCACUGGUCCAUUACUGACGCUGAGGUGCGAAAGCGUGGGGAGCAAACAGGAUUAGAUACCCUUGUAGUC